This is a long non-coding RNA of Saccostrea cuccullata (small rock oyster), 879 nucleotides long. RefSeq lists it as uncharacterized. The transcript is spliced from 3 exons. NCBI's taxonomy places the organism in Eukaryota, Metazoa, Mollusca, Bivalvia, Ostreida, Ostreidae. The record is from RefSeq and is a predicted model, not a curated record.
AAUCAAAAAAACGGCGACAAGAGAUUACAUGUAUGAGGAAAUUUCCACAUGAUGUUGACAAAGACCUGCUCUAUUUUUAAAAUGAAGAUAUAUAUACUGACAUAUAGUGUACAUGUACCUUGAAGAUUUGUCCCCCUUGUAAAUACAAGAAAUGCAAAGUAUACACAGAUAUAUACAUACACAUAAAAGGAGACAUCAUCUCAUGAUCUGUGGAUCCAUUGAAAACUUUAAGGACAAAACUGUUGAUAAUUCAUUCAUGUAAAGAGUGUUGACCUGAAUAUUGAAUAUCUAAAUGGAACUAAGUUAGAGAAUUAAUUUAAUAAGUAUUAUAUUGUAUAUUACUGAAUACUCUUUUUAUUCAUCUGUCAAAUUUCUUAAUUAAAAAUUAAACUUAAAGGCUUAAAUAAGGAUUUUUUUCAUUAUUUUAAUUAGAACAAGUUCUUUAAUUUAUUUUUCUCUUACAUAAUUGAUAAACAGGCAUUUAAGGUCAUGCGCAAUGUAGUUUGCACUUUAUUGGGUUCUUCCCUGGAGUUCAAUAGUUCCACUAAAGGAAGGACAUGUGUGCAAUAUUUUUAUUGUCUAUAUAUGGAUUUGUAAAUCUCCUCUAAAACAGUUUUGAUGAAAAAAAAAAUCUGGAAUUUAUGUUUUGUAAUUUUUGUACAUUUUUUCUUUGAAUAAUGCAAAAUUUUUCAAACUUUAAUAUCUUUUCAAAAUCCCUGGAAAUGCAUGCUGAUUUUUUGUCUAAAAAUAUGUAAUAUGGUACAUGUAUUAUAAGUUUAAAUAUAGAAUUUCUUGAAAAAUUAUCAGUAGGUAAGAUACCUUGCAUAUUUCCUUAAAUGUAAAAUUAAGGGAUGUGUACCUUUAUUAAAUGAACUAGGG